This 253-nucleotide ribosomal RNA is filed under the name uncultured bacterium. RNAcentral's name for it is "partial 16S ribosomal RNA". It matches the Rfam family "Bacterial small subunit ribosomal RNA", at positions 524 to 776 of the family's 1533-position model. The record is from RNAcentral.
UACGUAGGGUGCGAGCGUUGUCCGGAUUUAUUGGGUUUAAAGGGUGCGUAGGCGGUCCUAUAAGUCAGUGCUGAAAUAUCCCGGCUUAACCGGGAGGGUGGCAUUGAUACUGCAGGACUUGAGUAAAGUUGAGGUAGGCGGAAUUGACGGUGUAGCGGUGAAAUGCUUAGAUAUCGUCAAGAACACCGAUAGUGUAGACAGCUUACUAAGCUUUAACUGACGCUGAGGCACGAAAGUGUGGGGAUCAAACAGG